UGGGGAGUACGACCGCAAGGUUGAAACUCAAAGGAAUUGACGGGGGCCCGCACAAGCGGAGGAACAUGUGGUUUAAUUCGAUGAUACGCGAGGAACCUUACCUAGACUUGAACGUAUUUGGACAGAUUCAGAGAUGGAUUCUUCUUUCGGGACCAUUUACGAGGUGCUGCAUGGUUGUCGUCAGCUCGUGCCGUGAGGUGUCGGGUUAAGUCCCAUAACGAGCGCAACCCUUGCCAAUAGUUGCCAGCGAGUAAUGUCGGGGACUCUAUUGGGACUGCCGGUGUAAACCGUGAGGAAGGUGGGGAUGACGUCAAAUCAGCACGGCCCUUACGUCUAGGGCGACACACGUGUUACAAUGGCCAGUACAGAGGGUCGCUACUAAGUGAUUAGAUGCUAAUCUCGAAAACUGGUCUCAGUUCGGAUUGGAGGCUGAAACUCGCCUCCAUGAAGCUGGAUUCGCUAGUAAUCGCAUAUCAGCCAUGA
RNAcentral lists this ribosomal RNA (483 nucleotides) under uncultured Bacteroidales bacterium. RNAcentral's name for it is "bacterial SSU rRNA". It matches the Rfam family "Bacterial small subunit ribosomal RNA", at positions 874 to 1357 of the family's 1533-position model. Lineage: Bacteria; Pseudomonadati; Bacteroidota; Bacteroidia; Bacteroidales. The record is from RNAcentral.